Molecule: ribosomal RNA, 379 nt
Filed under: Caldilineae bacterium
Lineage: Bacteria; Bacillati; Chloroflexota; Caldilineae
Description: bacterial SSU rRNA
Rfam family: Bacterial small subunit ribosomal RNA
Source: RNAcentral
UUCGGAGAGUUUGAUCCUGGCUCAGGAUGAACGUUGGCGGCGUGCCUAACACAUGCAAGUCGAACGAACAGCCAGAAUCUUCGGAAUCUGGCGGGUUAGUGGCGCACGGGUGAGUAACACGUAGGUGACCUGCCCCGAAGUGGGGGAUAACCACUGGAAACGGUGGCUAAUACCGCAUGUGCUUGGCCAUUCGGUUGGUCAAGUAAAGCUCCGGCGCUUCGGGAGGGGCCUGCGGUCGAUUAGCUAGUUGGUGGGGUAAUGGCCCACCAAGGCGAUGAUCGAUAGGGGGCGUGAGAGCGUGACCCCCCACACUGGGACUGAGACACGGCCCAGACUCCUACGGGAGGCAGCAGUGAGGAAUAUUGCACAAUGGGCGCAA